Molecule: transfer RNA, 83 nt
Filed under: Octopus vulgaris (common octopus)
Lineage: Eukaryota; Metazoa; Mollusca; Cephalopoda; Octopoda; Octopodidae
Also listed under: 1 other name
Rfam family: tRNA
About the family: Transfer RNA (tRNA) molecules are approximately 80 nucleotides in length.
Source: Rfam by way of RNAcentral
AGCACGAUGGCCGAGUGGUUAAGGCGUUGGACUUAAGUUCCAAUGGACAAGUGUCCACGUGGGUUCGAACCCCACUCGUGCUA